Molecule: ribosomal RNA, 508 nt
Filed under: uncultured bacterium
Lineage: Bacteria
Description: bacterial SSU rRNA
Rfam family: Bacterial small subunit ribosomal RNA
Source: RNAcentral
AAUCAACGCUGGCGGCGUGCCUAACACAUGCAAGUCGAACGCGAAAAGGGCUUCGGCUCUUAGUAGAGUGGCGAACGGGUGAGUAACACGUGGGUGACCUACCUUCGAAUGGGGGAUAACGUCCCGAAAGGGACGCUAAUACCGCAUAACAUCCUGCUUUUGAACAGGUGGAGAUCAAAGCCGGGGAUCGCAAGACCUGGCGUUUGAAGAGGGGCCCGCGUCUGAUUAGCUAGUUGGUGAGGAACGGCCCACCAAGGCGACGAUCAGUAUCCGGCCUGAGAGGGCGGACGGACACACUGGGACUGAGACACGGCCCAGACUCCUACGGGAGGCAGCAGUGGGGAAUUGUUCGCAAUGGGCGCAAGCCUGACGACGCAACGCCGCGUGGAGGAUGAAGGUCUUCGGAUUGUAAACUCCUGUUGCUCGGGACGAAAAGCUUCGACCUAACACGUCGAAGUCUGACGGUACCGGGUGAGGAAGCCCCGGCUAACUCUGUGCCAGCAGCCGC